This 404-nucleotide ribosomal RNA is filed under the name Vibrio vulnificus. RNAcentral's name for it is "partial 23S ribosomal RNA". It matches the Rfam family "Bacterial large subunit ribosomal RNA", at positions 1 to 448 of the family's 2925-position model. Lineage: Bacteria; Pseudomonadati; Pseudomonadota; Gammaproteobacteria; Vibrionales; Vibrionaceae. The record is from RNAcentral.
GUUGUAUGGUUAAGUGACUAAGCGUACACGGUGGAUGCCUUGGCAGUCAGAGGCGAUGAAGGACGUAGUAACUUGCGAUAAGCGUAGAUGAGGCAGUAACAGCCACUUGAGUCUACGAUUUCCGAAUGGGGAAACCCACUGGCAUAAGCCAGUAUCAUUGAGUGAAUACAUAGCUCAAUGAAGCGAACCGGGAGAACUGAAACAUCUAAGUACCCCGAGGAAAAGAAAUCAACCGAGAUUCCGAAAGUAGCGGCGAGCGAAAUUGGAUUAGCCCUUAAGCUUUACAUGUGUUAGACGAACGGUCUGGAAAGUCCGACGAUACAGGGUGAUAGUCCCGUAGUUGUAGAUGCAUGUUCAGUGAAAUCGAGUAGGGCGGGACACGUGUUAUCCUGUCUGAAUAUGGG